Molecule: microRNA precursor, 199 nt
Filed under: Sorghum bicolor (sorghum)
Lineage: Eukaryota; Viridiplantae; Streptophyta; Magnoliopsida; Poales; Poaceae
Description: MIR1435 microRNA precursor family
Rfam family: MIR1435 microRNA precursor family
Source: Rfam by way of RNAcentral
UGGCUUUGGGCUAAGUCAAACUUCUCGAACUUUGACCAAGUUUCUUUGAAAAAUAUAUUAUUAUCUACAAGUUCAAAAUUAACGCACUAUGAUACAUAUUUCAUGAAGAAUUGAAGGAAACUAAUUGAUGUUGUUGAUAUUGGUGCAUUUUUCUAAAAUCUUGGCUAAGUUAGAGAAGUUUGACUUAGAACAAAACCAA